Molecule: non-coding RNA, 107 nt
Organism: Vibrio mangrovi
Lineage: Bacteria; Pseudomonadati; Pseudomonadota; Gammaproteobacteria; Vibrionales; Vibrionaceae
Source: Rfam
UAUCACCAAGGAUUGUUUUUCUCACCCUAUUUCCGGUGGGAGACGGAACGGAUUCAGGCCGGUAGCAUAAACCGGCUUUGAGACAAUAAAGAUAUAAAAAGGACCAG